This 7692-nucleotide long non-coding RNA is filed under the name Ananas comosus (pineapple). Its description in RNAcentral is "long non-coding RNA (ACOM_LNC040230)". The record is from RNAcentral. Lineage: Eukaryota; Viridiplantae; Streptophyta; Magnoliopsida; Poales; Bromeliaceae.
CUGCAGUAGGUUCAUUGUAGGAAUAGGGUGCGCGCUCAGAUGAAAUCUAUAUCCCUUGGUAGAUAGGGGUGUUAGUCCUAUGUGAUUUAUGAGACCGAGUUUAGAAGACCUUGGCCAGGGCAGAAGAAAUAGCGGAAAAGGGUUUCUGAUAUUAGAAACUCGAGUCGAAUAAAUUUAACAUAUGACAGACGAUAGGGUUUGACGAGUUAUUCCAUAACCUCCGUCUAGUCGGGACUCAUGAUAGAAGGAUUGUAUCACACGGUAACUGCACCAAGAGGUUCAGUAUUCCAUUCUACUGGAAUGCCACUACAUGCUGCUAGGCGUUACUGGUGGAUGGUGAGACUCAUGAGAAUUAUCUAGAUGAUCGAUAAUUCUCAUUGGGCUGAGUUGGAAUUGUUUCGAUCCACUGAAAAGAGUUUCAGUGAUAUUGUUGAUAGUGAUCAAAAUAUAUCUCACUACCAGAUAAAAUAGAACCUAUGGGGUCACACACAUAAGAGGUUGUGAUUGAUCGGAUAGUUAGAUCGCGAUUAUUGAAUCGCCGGAGGACCUAAUUGUCAAUAUGUUGAUAAUUGGACUAAUUUAUAAUUGUUACAAAUUAGUGGUAUUAAAGUGUAAAUGUUACUAGAGAGGACUUACUAAUAGUUAGUAAAUUAUAAGAGGACUUAUGUAUAAAUGUUGCAUUAUUAAUUUGAUAAGAUCAAAUUAAUAUAAAAUUCAAGUCGAAUCAAAUUAGGAUUUGAUCGAUCUAACUAAUUAAGGAAAAGAUAAAUUUAAAUCUAGAUUUAUACUUAUCCUUAAUUGUCAUUAUAUUAUUAGGAAUAGGAUUAUAUUCCUAUAUAUAAUAUACGGGAGUUUUUAGAAAACCCAAGCCGUCAUCUAUCCUCUCUUCUCUCUUCCAUCUUCUAGCAAGAAAGACGUCCUUUUGCAAGGGAGCUAGUACUUCGGUGAGGAUAUCGAUCAAAUCAAGAACCUCCUGUGGAUACCUAUAGAGGCCGGACACGUGUGCGGCUUCAAGAGAACCCGAUUCCACGAUCAUCAAAUUGAGGCAAGGAUUUAUCCGCGAAAAAGGUAAUGAUUCGAUCUUACUUUUCUCCUUUAAUCUUAAAGAACAUGAGGGAUCCUAAUUGCGUGGUUUUUGAGAUUAGAUCUCGAGAGUUUUUCAAAAUCAAAUUUGUUUGAUUUCUUUUUCCGUUGCGUUUUACCGUACGCAAUUUUCUAACAGUGGUAUCAGAGCCAUCCUCAUGUUUUUAAGAUUAAAAUUAUGAAUUUGGGUAUUCUAAACCGUUUUUCGCCGAUCGAACGAUUUAUAGAUCGUUGUUUGGAUAAUUCGUAAAAUCAAAUUGAUCGAACAAUUUAAUCGACGGUUUCUCGUUUUCAAAACAAAAAAAAAUAAAAAUAAAAAUAAAAUAAAAUUACUGUAGCACCGUACGAACGCUACUGUAGCGUCCGUACGGAUUUACUGUAGUAGUCCGUACGGACUCUACUGUAAGGUCCGUACGGAAAUAAAAUUUUUUUAUUUAACUAAAAGAAAAGGAUCUAAUUUGAUUAGAUCAAAUUUAAAUCUUGAUGAGAUCAAAUUAUUUUUGAAGAUUAAAUUUUUGAUCAAAAUUAUAAAGAUCAAUAAGAUUGAUUGUUAUUAGUGAUUUAGUCACUAUUAUUUUUCGAAUUAUCAGUUAACGGUUAAUUAGAAUACCCAAAAUUUUUAUGUAUGUGAUGUAUGAGAUACAUAUCGGUGAUGAUCAUGAAUAGCGACCUAUUUAUAUUUCGAUGUAUGAUGUGUAUGCAAAAUCCUGUAAUUUUAAAUUUGUUUAAAUUAAGGACUUUGUAUUAGAGAUGGCUAUAUUUGUGCCUGCGUGCACAAGCCGAUUUAUUUGGAGACCUACGUGUCUCAAUAGAUUAGAGAUAAAAGUUAUCAAAUAUAAUUAAUUUUUAUUUCAUUUUUUAUUAUUGGGUUGUAUAAUGUUUGGUUGCACGUCAUUGGUUGAUCGGUUGCAAGCCUAAAAGUUCGCAAGGCCUGGAUAGAGAUGAAUACUUGAUGGCGGUCAGAUCAAGGUGUUGAUAAGGAUCGGAUCAAGUUGAAGCUCCAGAUCGGAUCAAGAAGUUGAAGACAAUCAAAUCAAUAACGUGUGUUUGCUUGUAAUUUAUGACCCUAAGACCCCGAUUCCGACUCAGUGGCUCGAGUCCGAAUCCACUUCUAAGAUCCAUGAUCAUCACCAAUUAUAUUAUAUUUUUAUGCGCGGAUUAUUUUUAUUUGCAUUAGAUGUAAAUAAAUAAAAUAUUUUUUGGGACCUAAAUAUUAAUCUCCUCACAAAUAUUAAGUCGAGCGGUCUUCCGCCGUUGAAGAAGUGCGAGCGUUUUUCGGGUGUUGAUUGGCACGGCUGGUUACAGUGGUCAGUUGCAUCGGGAAGGCGCAACCACUCUAUUAGCAUGAGAAGCUGCGGAGUAAAGAUGGGGUUGGACCCAAUAACUGUCAGGUGAGGGACCCAAUGAUGGCUUUGCUUACGCGUUUGAACGGUGGGUCUGACUUAACUAAGGAAUGGGGCCAAUAACUGUCAGGUGAGGCCUACAGGACUUAGAGACCGAUCACUGCAAUUUGCUUGAGAAGUAUUGGACAAGAGUUGUCCACUCAUUGGUUUGCAUAUCACCCAUAACUGUCAGGUGAGGUGGUACGUUAAACUGGUGGGACCACAGUACCCACUUGAAACCUUUUGUCGUGUUGGGUUUCCGUUUCUCUACCCGAAGAGUGUAAGAGACUCGAGAAAAUAGUGGGAGGCUAAAUUUAUUUUUAAAAUUCCUAAAACAAAUUUUCAAAACAAAUACAAAUAUCUAAUUUGAAUCUUUACUCUCUGCAAAGUAAAUGUCUACUUAUCUCUCUCGUAUUCUCGACACAAAAUCCUUAACUGAAAUUAAUUAUAAAAUAGUUUUAAAUUCCAAGAAGCACUGCAAUGUUCUUGACCAGGUAAACCUCAUGUUGCCAAACCAUCCAAUAACUAACUGAAGGGCAGUCCGUUCAUGAUCAUUGUUUGACAAUGAUCAUAGACCUCGAGGAGCUUGAGAAGCUUGGCUUGAAAAUGGAUAAGGAAUUGCAAGUUGAUCUGAUCCUGCAAUCCCUUUUUGUAUCAUAUGAACAGUUUAUUGUAAACUACCAUAUGAAUAAAAUUGACUGCACCUGCAGAGUUAUUGAACAUGUUGGCAAUAAUAGAGGGGACUUUGAAAAGUUCAAAGGGCACGAUUCUCGCUGUGGAGCGAGCUUCUUCUUCCAAAAGAAAGUCUAAUUGAAAAAAGAAACCCGCGAAGAAACAAAAGAUGGAGAACAAGCCUAAGAGAGAAGCUCCUAAGAAAAAUGCCACCAACAAAAGAAAAUGUUUCCACUGCAAUGUUGACGGCCAUUGGAAGAGAAACUGUCCUAUCUACCUGGAGAGCUUAAAGAAUAAGAGAAAGGACACACCUUCGGAAGGUAUGUCAGACUUGCUCGUAAUAGAAACUAACGGUUUCCUCUACUUCCAGAAAAAAAAAAAAAGUAGAGGGCUUAGAGAAGGUGAAGUGACCCUACGGAUAGACAACAGAGCAAGAGUUGCUGCUGUGGCUGCUGGCACCUCUCCUUUGCGACUACCGUCAGAAUUUGCUACUUAAAGACUGCAAUUAUAUACCUCCUGCUAGCAGAAAUUUAAUUUCUGCAUAGGAUGGUUUAAUUUUGACAAAGACUACUGCAUAAUUUAUUUUAGAAAUAAAAUUAUUGGCCGUGGUUUUAUAAUUGACAGUUUUCAUCAUUUACAUAUGGAUGUAUCUACAAAUAUUUCUGAGCAAGUAGUGACUACUGUUGGGUCUAAGAGACCUAGAGAUGAGAUGAAUCUAAAGUAUAUGUGGUACUUCUGGCUUGGUCAUAUUGGAGAAGAAAGGAUAAAUAAAUUGGAUAAAGAUGGGCUUCUCGGCUCAUUGACUUCAUAGUCUUAUCCAGUUUGUGAAUCUUGUCUUCAAAGAAAAUUGACUAAAUUAUCCUUUGUAGGACAAGGGGAAAGGGCCACUGAGAUACUUUUCCUGAUACACACUGAUGUGUGUGGGCCAUUUGAUGUGCAUGUUAGGGAUGGUUAUCUCUACUUCAUAAUCUUUACCGAUGAUUAUUCACGGUAUGGGUAUGUGUAUCUUAUGAAACACAAAUCUGAGGCCUUUGAAAAGUUCAAAGAAUUCAGAUAUGAAGUAGAAAAGCAAACUGAAAAAUCCAUCAAGGUUCUUCGAUCAGAUCGAAGAGGAGAAUACCUUAGUAGAGAGUUCCUAAAUUAUCUCAAAGAAAACGGCAUAGUCUCACAGUGGACUCCUCCGGGUACACCUCAACUCAACGGGGUGUCAGAACGGAGAAACCGAACCUUAGUGGAUGUGGUUCGAUCCAUGAUGAGCUUCACUGAUCUUCCUUUAUUUCUUUGGGGACAUGUUUUGCUUACCGCAGCUUAUUUGUUAAAUAGAGUUCCCUCUAAAUCCGUUCCUAUCACACCGUAUGAGAUGUGGCAUGGUAAGAAACCAAGUCUUGGUCAUAUCAAUAUUUGAGGGUGUCCGGCCUAUAUUAAGCGACUACAGGCGAAAAUGUUAGAGGGUAGGUCUGAGAGGGCUCGUUUUAUUGGAUAUCCUAAAGAAACUUUAGGUUACUAUUUUUAUAUCCCAGAGAAUCACAAUGUAGUUGUGAGCAAACAUACUAUUUUCUUGAAAAAACAGUUUAUUCAAGAAGCUAGUGGGAGAAAAAUUGAGCUCGAAGAGAGAGUCUCUGAAGAGCAACGAGUCAUCAAACCUACAGAACAUAUUCAAGCUGAGCCAGUACAUGUAGUACCUCCUCCACCUCGUAGGUCGAGUAGAAUCUCCCAUCCCACUAAAAAAUACUUAGGUAUCGUUACAGAGGAAGUAGAGGAAAUGUUCCUCAUGGGAGAUAGGGAACAUGAAGAUGAUCCCAAAACUUACAACGAGGCGAUGUCUGACAUCGAUUCCGAGAAAUGGCUGGAUGCCAUGAAGUUAGAAAUUGACUCAAUGCAUUCCAACCAGGUUUGAAUUUUGGUAGACCCACCAGAAAGUAUAGUACCUAUCGGGUGUAAAUGGAUCUACAAAAGAAAGAUAGGUUCGGAUGGAAAGGUAGAGACCUAUAAAGCAAGGCUGGUUGCGAAAGGUUAUAGUCAACACGAAGGCAUUGACUAUCAGGAGACCUUUUCACCUGUGGCCAUGCUUAAAUCCAUUCGAACACUGCUUGCCCUUACAGCAUACUAUGAUUAUGAGAUCUGGCAAAUGGAUGUAAAAACUGCCUUCCUAAAUGAAUAUCUUGAAGAAGAUAUCUAUAUGGAGCAGCCUCUGGGUUUCACUUCCGGUGACGAAAGUCACAAAGUAUGCAAGUUGCAACGGUCCAUUUAUGGACUUAAGCAAGCAUGUCGGACUUGGAAUACUCGUUUCAACGACGUGAUUAAAUCGUUUGAUUUCGUUAAGAAUGAGGAGGAACCAUGUGUUUAUAAGAAGGUCAGUGGGAGAGUUAUCACAAUCCUCGUAUUGUACGUGGAUGACAUUCUCUUAAUUGGGAAUGACAUUCCAAUACUGACUUCAGUUAAAAUAUGGUUGUCUAAAGAAUUCUCCAUAAAAGAUCUAGGAGAAACAUCCUUUAUUUUGGGGAUAAAGGUUUAUAGAAAUAGAUCUAAAAGGAUGCUAGGCCUCUCACAGAAAAUGUACAUAGAGGAGAUGCUGAAGAGGUUUGGCAUGAAAAACUCCAAAAGAGGACUUUUACCUCUUACACAUGGAAUUUAUCUCUCUAAGAAAAUGUGCCCCAAUACAUUUGAAGAGAUUCAACGUAUGAGUAAGAUCCCUUAUGCCUCAGCUUAAGGGAGUCUUAUAUACUCCAUGCUAUGUACACGACCUGAUAUCGAGCUUGCUGUGAGUGUCACAAGUAGAUAUCAAUCUAAUCCAGGCGAUGAGCACUGGAUUGCUGUGGAGAACAUACUCAAGUACUUGAGAAGCACUAAGAAUAUGUUCUUGGUCUUUGGAGAAAGAGAGUUGAAAGUACAAGGAUAUACUGAUUCAAACUUUAUGUCUGAUAUUGACGAUAGAAAGUCUACGUCAGGAUGUGUGUUCUUAUGCAAUGGUGGCUCUGUGUAUUGGAAGAGUUCCAAACAACCACCCUACCAUGGAAGCAGAGUAUAUCGCCGUAUUUGAUGUACGUCUUCUGAUUCAUGAAGUUUGUCGCGAAAUUAAGUGUGAUGUCAUCGGAUGCCAUACCACUCUAUUGCGACAACAAUGGCGCCAUAGCCUUAGCUAAGGAGCCCAAGUCUCAUCAGAAGUCGAAGCAUAUAGAGCGGCGGUUUCAUAAUAUACGUGACUACCUCGACAAGAAAUACAUCGAGAUGCAGAGAGUAGACUCCACGGAUAACGUGGCAGGCCCAUUGACUAAACCACUUAGCCAGCAGAAGACUGAAGUCCACCUUGAGAAGAUGGGGCUUAAGUAUAUGACUGAUUUGCUUUAGUGCAAGUGGGAGAUUAUUAGAUGUAUGCCCUAGAAGCCAACCAGGCCGACACAUAUAUUCUUUCUAGGACAUAAAUUUGUAUUUGACUUUUAAAUAUUAUGAAUAACUUUGGAUUUUUUAUAUUUCCAUUCAUGUUGUGUAUGUGUCUAUGAAUCGUCCAAGGAAUUAAUAAAAUGAUGACAUAUAUUCUCAAGAGUUGAGAAUUUGAGACAUGUGUCAUUGGUGGUUAAUUCCUAAAUACUCCCGAUCAAUGAAUCAUCACGGGAACGGUGAUUGAUCCGGUGAGAUUGGUACAUAUGUCGUUUCCCUUUUGGGUAGACGGGUCUCGAGUCGACAGUGUGGGGACACUGAAGCGAAUAUGCAGGUGGUUGUUAGAGAACAAGGGUACCGAGCGUGACCAAUGCGAGAAGUCACUUGGAUGUCUACUCACUCGUCAGUAGCUUACUCAAUGUUGCAGUAGUGUGACUGGUCCUUUGACCUGCGGUGCCUCGGCUAUUCACAAUGAGGUUACUGUAGUUUGACUGUACAUACACUUGGUCCCUAGCCAUUCGGGUCCUUGCGGUGCAUGUUGGCUGCAGUAGGUUCAUUGUAGGAAUAGGGUGCGCGCUCAGAUGAAAUCUAUAUCCCUUGGUAGAUAGGGGUGUUAGUCCUAUGUGAUUUAUGAGACCGAGUUUAGAAGACCUUGGCCAGGGCAGAAGAAAUAGCGGAAAAGGGUUUCUGAUAUUAGAAACUCGAGUCGAAUAAAUUUAACAUAUGACAGACGAUAGGGUUUGACGAGUUAUUCCAUAACCUCCGUCUAGUCGGGACUCAUGAUAGAAGGAUUGUAUCACACGGUAACUGCACCAAGAUGUUCAGUAUUCCAUUCUACUGGAAUGCCACUACAUGCUGCUAAGCGUCACUGGUGGAUGGUGAGACUCAUGAGAUUUAUCUAGAUGAUCGAUAAUUCUCAUUGGACUGAGUUGGAAUUAUUUCGAUCCACUGAAAAGAGUUUCAGUGAUAUUGUUGAUAGUGAUCAAAAUAUAUCUCACUACCAGAUAGAAUAGAACCUAUGGGGUCACACAUAUAAGAGAUUGUGAUUGAUCGGAUAGCUAGAUCGCGAUUAUUGAAUCGCCGAAGGACCUAAUUGUCAAUAUGUUGAUAAUUGGACUAAUUUGUAAUUAUUACAAAUUAGUGGUAUUAAAGUGUAAAUGUUACUAGAGAGGACUUA